Molecule: ribosomal RNA, 691 nt
Filed under: Panstrongylus rufotuberculatus
Lineage: Eukaryota; Metazoa; Arthropoda; Insecta; Hemiptera; Reduviidae
Description: SSU rRNA
Rfam family: Eukaryotic small subunit ribosomal RNA
Source: RNAcentral
UUAACAAGGAUCCAUUGGAGGGCAAGUCUGGUGCCAGCAGCCGCGGUAAUUCCAGCUCCAAUAGCGUAUAUUAAAGUUGUUGCGGUUAAAAAGCUCGUAGUUGGUUCUGCGUGCCGCGCUGUCGGUUCGCCGCCUGUCGGUGUAACUGGCAUGUCGCGGCAUGUCCUGUCGGUGGUGAACGGAGUCCACAAUGCUACAUAGGCUUUACAGCCGAUGUUAGCGUCGUGUGUACUUCCGUUGGCCGAUCUCUCCUACUUCGGUGCUCUUAAACGAGUGUCGAGGUAGGCCGACACGUUCACUUUGAACAAAUUAGAGUGCUUAAAGCAGGCUGAAAUAUCUGCCUGAAUAGUGGUGCAUGGAAUGAUAAAACAGGACCUCGGUUCUAUUUUGUUGGUUUUAGGAAUAUGAGGUAAUGAUCAAUGUGGACUGGCGGGGGCAUUCGUAUUGCGACGUUAGAGGUGAAAUUCUUGGNNNNNACGCACUAGAGCGAAAGCAUUUGCCAAGUAUGUCUUAAUUGAUCAAGAACGAAAGUUAGAGGUUCGAAGGCGAUCAGAUACCGCCCUAGUUCUAACCAUAAACGAUGCCAGCCAGCGAUCCGCCGAUGUUCCUUUAAUNNNNNGAGCUUCCACCCGGGAAACCAAAGCUUUUGGGUUCCGGGGGAAGUAUGGUUGCAAAGCUGAAACUUAAAGGA